This 235-nucleotide long non-coding RNA is filed under the name Sorghum bicolor (sorghum). RNAcentral describes it as "long non-coding RNA (SBIC_LNC001048)". Lineage: Eukaryota; Viridiplantae; Streptophyta; Magnoliopsida; Poales; Poaceae. The record is from RNAcentral.
GGAGUUAGGUGAUAGAUCACAUGUGAGCGUGGUGCUUAGAUGUUAUUUAUCUGCAAAUGUAUCCUAUUGGCCGAGUCGUGUGGUAGUUCGCGAUAGUGACAGCUUCGUUGAUUCUUAUAUAGUCCACCCUCCAUUGAUAGGACAGGCAGAACCGGUAUUGUGGAGUAAGUCUUGCGAUGUUCUGAUUUACUUUAUCAAUGUUCCUUAUACAUGAAUGAAGAGUCUUUUAUGCUAU